ACACUGGGGAGGCUCGGGGCCCAGCCAGGGCCUCCCCAGCGCCCCAGCCCCGGCACCGCGGGGAGGAAGGAGGCCACCCAGACGAAGGGCCAGCCCCUCCGGGCCCCUAGGUAGCUCCAGGCCAGCCUGGACCACCGCGCGCCGCCCUCCAGCCCCGCCGCGCCCCCGGCUCCUCGGGCCUGCACUCUGCACCCCGGCCCCUCCUCCGGCUAUGGAUGAAUGGAAUGAACACGGGAAGGACGAAGAGCCAGGCGCGGUGGCGCACGCCUGUAAUCCUAGCGCUCUGAAGGUUGAGGCCGCAAGUUCGAGGCCAGCCUGGGCUCCAAAGUGAGUUCAAGGCCAACCUGAACUGCAUAAUGAAACCCUGCCUCAAAAAUAAAAAUGAAAAGGAGAAGAAGGAGGAAGAAAGGAAGAGGAGCUAGCUACACAGGCCUGCUGCAGUGCCCAUGCAGCUCUUAGUUAAGAAGCAGUGUUGACUACAGACACACGAUCUGCCCUCUGACUCUCACGGUCACGGAGCCUGGCAUCGGUUUCCUUACACAGCCUUGCAGAACAGUCCUCCUGCAGGACCACAGCCUGCUGUGUGGCUGAGCCUGCUGUGUGGCUGAGCUGAAAAUGUGCAGCUGGACACAGGGCUGAGCUCGACAGCUGCUUGGACUUCCUCAUGAGCAAAGUCACUCAGGAGACAAAAGAUGACAUGGGUCCUUCAGUGGCAGGUCCCAUGCCAGGUGCUGGGGUCACCAAUACUGGGGUCACCAAUAAAGCUUUCAGAUCUGCAGCACACCACCAGGUUAAAAAAAAUUCCGACUCCAGCAGGAAAGGAUUACACAACAGCUUUGUGAAUGACUGGAACAAUGGAGGAGGAGGAAAUUUGUAAAAUCCAACCAGCAAUGCCAAGUCUCUUGGACUUUUACUUGGUGGAUAAGAACCGACACUGAUCUAGCCCAUCUGCAGGAAUGGCCUGAAUUAAAGUGGAUGCAAUUCAACAAAGGCAAAUCCUGGACCUGCCCUUCAGAAAAGGCACUGACCUGUAACAUCUUAGAGAGAGGAAAGAACCGGCCCCAGAUGUUUCACAAAUGACUCAAAAAACAGGAACAGUGACCUGUCAACGGCUAUGAACCUGACCCUGCUCCUUCCUUGAAGACAAUGACACUGCGGAGUAAUCACCAGACGUUAUUAAAGUCCCGGCACAGCAGGAUAAUUCCCACGAAAGCCUGGACCAGCUGCCACAUGGGGAGCUUGCACAGGAAGUGAAGAGAUGCAGAGAGGAAGGAAGUCGCUGGUGGCUGAAAGGAGCCCAAGGAGAGCCUUUGGGUCCAUACCAUGGAAUGCCAGUGGCAGGACUCCGCGAACUCUGAGCCCCUGCCAGCCACUUGGAAGCUCAUUCCUCUGAGCAGGUGGCUCCAGGCCUGCGCUGCCCAUGCAGUCUAGCGAGAAGUCCUUAUCUUCUUGGUCAGGACAUUGGUUACCAGCUCGGACACUGACUGCACUCUGUGUGCCAUGCAGAAUUCUGAGAUGGACCCUAUUUCCAGCCCUCACACCAUCAACAACUUCUCUUAGUUGGUUCUGACCCACCACUAACUGAGAGGCUACUGUAAAGGGCCUCUCUGGCUACAUCUGAGGUCCCCAGUGGGCUGACUUAAAGCAUACUCUCAGAGCCUGGCCAACUCAGAGAACUCUUAGAGCUGGUUCUUCCUGAAGAUAGAGACUUGAGGUAGAGGAGCAUGUGACAUAGCGGCCUUGAACAGAGAAGGGGCCAUCCAGCAAGAACCCAAGCAUGGCCUGCAGACAUUGAGAGUGGUCUCUAUUAGGCUGUAGCAACAGUGAGGGCCUUAUUUCUGUCCCCACCCUGAGCAAUCUUGUAAAAGAGCAGACAAGGACGCAGAUGACCUCCAGAGAGCAGAGGAGCCAACCAUGCCAAGCCUGAGGUCCUGGCCUGUGGAAUGAUGAGAUACUAAACAGGAAUUCUUUUAAGCUGCUAAAUUUGUGGUCAUUUGUUAUGUGACCACAGAAAAAAUACAACAAUCUCAUGAUCCUUCAAGGUCCAGCUUGAAUCCUUGCAUGAAACCGCAGUGUGAACAGAGAGCAGAGUGGCCCCACUCCUCCUGCUGCCCAACAUUCUACUUCCGUGACACCUUGCACUGACACACUACAGGAAGACAAGAUGUGGCUAGAACCAUCUGGGAAAGGAAGCAUGAUAAAAUCCUGGGACAUAGGUGCAGAGUGAUUCUCAGAGCCCUACACAUGGACUUCUCCUGGGAACUCCAGCAGGUUUUUGAUAGGGUCUCCUGGACAUGGUCAGCGUGAAAAGAUAAAAAAGGAACAGUCACCAUGAUGCACUCACCAUCUGGUCUCCUCACAGUGGCCACCCUCAGCUGGAGGGUGUAUUUUAUGUUUAUUUUCCUACUUUUACUUAGCCCAAAAUCACACUGCAGAGCCUAUUGUUUUCCCUACCCUAUUUUUUCCCCCCACCUUUAAUAAAUGUGAAACUUGCCACUAUU
Long non-coding RNA from Cavia porcellus (domestic guinea pig), 2501 nucleotides. RefSeq lists it as uncharacterized. The transcript has 4 exons. The record is from RefSeq and is a predicted model, not a curated record. Lineage: Eukaryota; Metazoa; Chordata; Mammalia; Rodentia; Caviidae.